GGGGACGUAGCUCAUAUGGUAGAGCGCUCGCUUCGCACGAGAGGCACGGGGUUCAAUUCCCCGCGUCUCCA
RNAcentral lists this transfer RNA (71 nucleotides) under Oryza punctata. It matches the Rfam family "tRNA". Rfam says of the family: Transfer RNA (tRNA) molecules are approximately 80 nucleotides in length. Their secondary structure includes four short double-helical elements and three loops (D, anti-codon, and T loops). Lineage: Eukaryota; Viridiplantae; Streptophyta; Magnoliopsida; Poales; Poaceae. The record is from Rfam by way of RNAcentral.